Molecule: ribosomal RNA, 345 nt
Filed under: Triticum aestivum (bread wheat)
Lineage: Eukaryota; Viridiplantae; Streptophyta; Magnoliopsida; Poales; Poaceae
Description: partial small subunit ribosomal RNA
Source: RNAcentral
AUGCCGAAGGCCGCGGGGGAUGCCAAGCUCCUGAUCCAGUCCCUCACCAAGGCCUACGCCACCACGCCCACGAAUCUCAAGAUCAUUGACCUGUACGUGGUUUUCGCGGUCGCCACUGCCCUGGUUCAGGUCGUUUACAUGGGAAUAGUUGGGUCAUUCCCCUUCAACUCUUUCCUGUCUGGUGUCCUGUCAUGCAUUGGAACUGCAGUGCUUGGUGUUUGCCUCCGUAUUCAAGUCAACAAGGACAACAAGGAAUUCAAGGAUCUUCCCCCGGAGAGGGCCUUUGCUGAUUUCGUCCUGUGCAAUCUGGUGCUCCACCUGGUGAUCAUGAACUUCCUUGGAUGA